RNAcentral lists this transfer RNA (72 nucleotides) under Mus musculus (house mouse). It matches the Rfam family "tRNA". From Rfam's summary of the family: Transfer RNA (tRNA) molecules are approximately 80 nucleotides in length. Their secondary structure includes four short double-helical elements and three loops (D, anti-codon, and T loops). The record is from Rfam by way of RNAcentral. Lineage: Eukaryota; Metazoa; Chordata; Mammalia; Rodentia; Muridae.
GGUGAGAUGGCUCAGUGGGUAAGAGCACCGGACUGCUCUUCCGAAGGUCUGAAGUUCGAAUCCCAGCAACCA